RNAcentral lists this long non-coding RNA (2058 nucleotides) under Homo sapiens (human). Its description in RNAcentral is "HSALNT0390857". Lineage: Eukaryota; Metazoa; Chordata; Mammalia; Primates; Hominidae. The record is from RNAcentral.
AGAGGUUGAGGCAGGAGAAUCGCUUGAACCCAGGAAGCGGAGGUUGCCUUGAGCUGAGAUCAUGCGACUGCACUCCAGCCUGGGCGACAGAGCGAGCCUCUGUCUCGGAAAAAAAAAAAAAAAAGAAAAAAGAAAACAGCAUCAAAACCAAGGAAUGUCUGAGAAACUAUGACAACCAAGAGAAGCCCAAGGAGACAUGGCAACUAAAUGUAAAGUCGUCUCCUGGCUGGGAUACUGGAGCAGAAAAAAGGACAUCAGAGAUAGGAUCUUGCUGUUGCCCAGUCUGGCUUCAAGGGAUCCUCCCAUCUUGGCGGCCCAAAGUGUUGGGAUUACAAGUGUGAACCACCACGCCCGGCCUUAGAAUCUUAUUGCUGAUCUCAAGGGAAUAAUUUGGUGACUGUCAUGUGAAAUGCCACCUUCACAAACAAAUCCAUCUUCUCACUUUAUGCAGCAGUAUCAGUUAAGAAAAACGAAGAUUGACACCAAAGAAAAAAAACUUUGAAUAGAAUAAAGAAGUCCAACUAUUUUUUUUUUUUUUUGAGAUGGAAUUUCACUCUUCUUGCCCAGGCUGGAGUGCAAUGGUGCGAUCUCAGCUCACUGAAACCUCUGCCUCCAGGUUCAAGCAAUUCUCCUGCCUCAGCCUCCUGAGUAGCUGGGAUUACAGGCAUGUGCCACCAUGCCUGGCUAAUUUUGUAUUUUUAGUAGAGAUGGGGUUUCUCCAUGUUGGUCAAGCUAGUCUCGAACUCCCAACCUUGGGCGAUCCACCCACGUCAGCCUCCCAAAGUGCUGGGAUUACAGGCGUGAGCCACCACACCUGGCUUUUUUUUUUUUUUUUUAGAUGAAGUCUUGCUCUGUUGCCCAGGCUGGCGUGCAAUGGCUCCAUCUUGGCUCACUGCAACCUCCACCUCCUGUGUUCAAGCGAUUCUUCUGCCUCAGCCUCCCGAGUAACUGGGAUUACAGACACACACCACCACACCUAGCUAAGUUUUGUAUUUUUAGUAGGGAUGGGGUUUCACCAUGUUGGCUAGGCUGGUUUUGAACUCCUGACCUUAAGUGAUCUGCCCACCUCGGCCUCCCAAAGUGCUGGGAUUACAGGCGUGAGCCACCAUGCCUGGCCCAACUACUUUAAAUAAUUCUUUCUAUUCUAACAGGUGUGUAAAAGUGGCAUGAUCAUGUGAGGUGAAUAAGAACUAUUGUAUCUCAUUGCUAUCCCUUCGAAGUUGAUACUAUAUCCCAGUACCAUAUUCAGAUGAGGAAAAUUGAGUCUUGAAGAGAUUAUGAAUCUGCCCAAGAUCACAGAGCUAGCAAGUGACGAAACUAAAAUUCAAACCCAGGUUUUUUUUGUUUUUUUUUUUUUUUUGAGACAGAGUCUUGCUCUGUUGCUCAGGCUAGAGUGCAGUGGUGCGAUCUUGACUGAAACCUCUGCCUCCUGGGUUCGAGCGAUUCUCCUGUCUCAGCCUCUUGAGCAGCUGGGAUUACAGGCGCCGGCCACCACACCCACCUAAUUUUUGUAUUUUCAGUAGAGACAGGGUUUCACCAUGUUGGCCAGGCUGGUCUCAAACUCCUGGCCUCAGGUGAUCUGCCUGCCUCAGCCUCCUAAAGUGCUGGGAUUACAGGCAUGAGCCACUGCACCUGGCAAGAGUAAAUAUUUUUAAAUGAGACAUUAAGACCUGGGUUUUGGCUGCGUACAGUGGCUCACGCCUGUCAUCUCAGCUCUUUGGGAAGUCAAGUCAGGAGGAUCAUCAGCAGUCAGGUGUUUGAGACCAGCCUGGCCAACAUGGCAAAACCCUGUCUCUACUAAAAAUACAAAAAUUAGCCAAGCAUAUUGGUGGGUACCUGUAAUCCCAGCUACUCGGGAGGGUGAGGCAGGAGAAUUGCUUGAACCUGGGAGGCAGAGUUUGCAGUGAGCUGAGACCAUGCCGUUACACUCCCGCCUGGGCAACAAGAGCGAAAUUCUGUCUUAAAAUAAAAUAAAAUAAAAAUAUUCACUCUUAACUCUUUGGCAAUAUUUCCUCCCACCGUGUGACAGUCGAGGUUAUUCACUGCACUGUAGAGUAG